GGGCGGGCGCAGAGAGGGCGGGAGGGGUGGGGGGCGGUUGUGUGCGCUUGGCCUACUCCCCUCUGGGUUGGAUGGACUGCUCCGUCCCGAGGCAUGCUGGGAGCUGUAGUUCUGUGUUGCCGGGCGGCCACAUGGGCUCCGGGAUGCGCGGCUGGUCUUUCCCCGAGCCGGGGCCGGGCCGUGCGCACCGGGAGGCGCAGGCUGGCGCUGGAUGCAGGUUUAAGCUUGGAAAUAAAGGGGGAGUGAGGGAAGAAAAAAAGCAAAGCCUUACAGAGCCUCAGCUCCACCUAGGAACAAAUAACGGUCUGUCUGCUUCUGGAAGAACUUCCCACCGCUGAGGACGGAUGGGGCAGACCCCAGAAGCUAGAUGGGGUUGUGUGAGAGCUGGUGAUAGUGCCAGCAGGACUCCACAGCCGACAAGAGACAUCGUUGGCCUUGAUGUCCAUCGCAACGGAAAACGCUCGUUUAAUCCAAUUUGGGGAAGUCUGUCAAACUCUCAGAAACAAUAGCAGUGAGACUCUUAUGCAGUCAUGGUGAAAGUUUAGCACAGCGAAGAAACAGUGUGUAUUAGGUAAGGUGACAAAUGGAGUCACACCUCCCAGAAGUCCCAGUUUGAGGUCUUUAAGCUUUUUUUCUUGUUGGGGGAAGGCAGAGAGAGCCGAAUAUUAUCCAGGAAGGUGACCAAAUCCGUGCCUAAAAAGCUCAGCUGCUAAAGGUUUUAUAAAUGAUCUUUGCACUGCAAGUUUCAGUUUUCAUGAAGCCAAAUUGAGAUAAAUCCAAAAUUUUCUACGGAUUUAAAAGAACGCUUACUGAAAUAUUCUUGUCAUUCACAUUAAUAAUGGAGUGAGUGAACUUGUUCCACACAGUGACCUUACUUUAUUAUUUUGUUUGUUGUAUUCCAGCAAACUGUGUACAAUCCCGGGAGCAUAGGCACGGUCUUGUGUAGCACUGUCAUUCUGCCCCACCGCUCUGAUAUCUAACAAAGUAAUACAUUCUGGAUGUUGUCUACAAAUUCUUUCCUUCCUUAUGUAAGAGGUCGAUGCGCGUGUCGCCUAGUUUGUCACAGAGCAUCACUGAAGUACUGUUUUAUUUGUAUUUGUGAAGACAGCAGAAUCAAAGACAGCGGGUCGGUGACUCCCACCGAGAUGGUCAUUAAGAUAAAACAGUGAAGUUUCUAGCAUAUAUUAAAAAGCCUGGAGGAAUUAGCAUAGCUUGCAGGAAAGCGUGCUGGAAAGAGAUGAUAUUUGAGAGCAAGCGUGAAAAUGUCGUCUUUUUACCAAGAAUGAUGAGAACUGAUGCGUCUGCCCUGCGUUUGGAUAGAAGAUGCCUUGGAUUUAAAGACGGUGUGUAUUAAAUGAAGUAUGAGAAGAAACAGCUUCUUCGGACACUUGCGCUCCUCUUCUUCAGCUCGUGGAGAAGGCUGACAGCCUGUCUCACUCUCGUCAGUGCUAUCCCACCAGCUCCUUUAGGAGCCCAGCACCGCGUUUGGCCUGUUGCGAUCUUCCCGCUCCCCUCAUUUCUGUGCUGCAACGCCACCAUCCACAAGAAGUCAGACAGGAAAAAAGCUCUUUCCAGAGAGAUGGAGAAGGAAUUAAUUAGACCUCUGCCUCAUCCUGCAAGACCAGAAGACAUGGAGUAACUGUAAGCUGCGAUUCUCAGGAGACAUACUAAGAGUCUCGGGUUCCUUUUCUGCCCGCCCCCCAAGGCCUUGGGCACGUUGGGUUCACCCUGGGAAGGGCACGUUGCUCAGGGCAGUUAUUUCCUCCCCUAGACGACGUGGGGUGCAUUUUUCUGCUGCACUUGUGGUUUUCCACCUGUGGUUUUUCACUUGUGGUUUUCCACGUGGUUCGCACUGCUUCCAUUAUUGAGAAAACGGUUUGGGAAGCUGUGUCUGCCACUUCUCAGGAUUUUCUGCCACCACCUGCUGGCAAAAAAAAUCAGUAACGCAGGUGGAGCCAUGUAGGACUUCUCAGAGGUAAGCCUUCAACGUACGGGGACCCCUAAACUCGUGAGCCGAGCACGCAAGACAAAUGUCCGUGGCACAAAGAUCAAGGACGACUUCUCAGAGGUAAGCAGCUUUCCCUUUGUUUUCCCGUCCUCUCAGGAGCCCUCCUUAUGAUGCUUGUACACACUUCAGGCUCACAACACUCAUUUUCUCCUCUACUUAGUAUUCCUAGUCCCUGGCUAACCCGUCCUCCCUCCCCCCACUUUCCAAAGACCUACGUGCUCUGCUCAGGUCCCUCCUGAGGUCUUACAGAUCUUUUAAAUCUGCUCAGCGUUCUUUCCGGCUUGUUCUGUGCCAUUAUUUUUUCCCUGCUCCUUUUGAGAAUGUCUGUACCCUUUUCAGAUCUCGAUUGGGUUGGCUUUUUUGAAUCCAUCUGCAUAGCCUUUUGUUUUUUAGAUAGUCUACUAAGGUAUGUUACUUCUCCGGUGAGUUAUUUUACUACAUUGAAUUGUAUUUUUGUGGUUUGUAAUCUGUUACAGUCCUAGAUUAUUUCUACCUAUGUAAAGAAAGGUUUCAGCUAAUUACAGUCAAAACCAGUGUUAGUUACCUAUUUGGUCAUAUUGUCGUUUCAAUAAUCAGGACUGAAGCAAAAGCACAGGAAUUGUUGCCUCUAGUAACACUCCACACACUGUUGAGCUAAGCCAAAUAAAAAACGCAGCUGCUGCUCUCUUUAUCCCUUCCUGUGCUUUGCCCCUCCUCUUUCCCAGGUGAUUGGAGCAGGGUGCCGGGUGGGGCCUAAUGGUAUAUGAGCCGCAGGUGUCCUGUCAGAGAGCUCAUUCUGCCUGAGCUGCUCUUUGGGUAGGUAAACCUUAGGAGGAAUCGGUCAAAGGAAACAGCAACUGUCAAGUUCUUGUUCGGCAACUUGGUGACUGAUUUGAUCUACUUCUCAGAUGUAGAGGCAAAUGGACUGCUCUUUUGAAAUGAUAAAAUAAAAAACAUGAAGUUCGUCAAA
Long non-coding RNA from Cygnus atratus (black swan), 2957 nucleotides. RefSeq lists it as uncharacterized. The record is from RefSeq and is a predicted model, not a curated record. Lineage: Eukaryota; Metazoa; Chordata; Aves; Anseriformes; Anatidae. The transcript is spliced from 4 exons.